UCGAGGAUAGUCUACAAUGGUCGAAAGAUUGAUAGUGCGACGCCGCGUGAACGAAGAAGCAUUUCGGUGUGUAAAGUUCUUUUCUAUGCGAGCAGGGAUUGGGAGGUUAACAGCCUCUUGGUUUUGAUAUUAGUAUAGGAAUAAGCCACGGCUAACUCCGUGCCAGCAGCCGCGGUAAUACGGGGGUGGCGGGCGUUGUCCGGAAUUACUAGGCGUAAAGGGCAGGGAGGCGGAAUGGUAAGUUAAGUGUUAAAGGCCCAUGCUCACCAUGGGUAAGGCAGUUGAUACUGUCAUUCUGGAAGCGAGUGGGGGAAGACGGAAUUCCUGGUGUAGCGGUGGAAUGCGCAGAUAUCAGGAGGAACACCGAAGGCGAAGGCAGUCUUCUACGCUUUGUUUGACGCUAAACUGCGAAGGUGCGGGUAUCAAACA
RNAcentral lists this ribosomal RNA (429 nucleotides) under uncultured prokaryote. RNAcentral's name for it is "bacterial SSU rRNA". It matches the Rfam family "Bacterial small subunit ribosomal RNA", at positions 355 to 774 of the family's 1533-position model. The record is from RNAcentral.